Molecule: non-coding RNA, 2020 nt
Organism: Peromyscus maniculatus bairdii (prairie deer mouse)
Lineage: Eukaryota; Metazoa; Chordata; Mammalia; Rodentia; Cricetidae
Source: RefSeq, a predicted model, not a curated record
CAACUGUGUUCAUACUUGGCAACAAGGUCAAGGGCGUGAUGAGGCCAAAUCCUCUAUCUUUCUGCCAUUUUGCUAACAGCAUCAAGAGAGUCAGCUACUAAGAAAAAGACCAAAGAAAGCCAUGGUGCCACCCAGUCCUGGGAAGAUGGAACACAGGGUAUGUUGUUAUAAGAGGCUCUUGAAAUGACUGUCUGCUGCUGGAUCACUUGAACUUGAUCAGUCAUAUGAAAAAACAGGAAUCAUCAACAGAACUGCGCACUGAGCCCAGGAAGGAAAUGUGAGGUCAUUUUGUGGAAGUACUUGAUAAUGGAUUUCUGUUCCCUGGACACAAAGAGAAAAUUGGAGAAGUGCUAAUAGGAUUCACGGGCUGGCUAUAAAUAAUGACUCAGAUCAUUUCUACCUUGUUACCAUCAUGGAGCAAACCCAGGAUGUUGGCACUGGAUUGAGUGGGCCAUAAGACCUGACUUCCUUCCUUAUAACCAUGGCCUCUAGAACUGAAAGACAAAGGAUGGCAUCCUGGACUGAAUGAAAAGGAGGAAGCAAUCUGAGCACCAGCAUUUGACCCCUGACACAAAGUGACAAGCUAGCUUGAGCUCCUGCCAAGGUGGCUUCCCCACCACGGCGGACUCUACCCUGGGACCGAAAGUCCGAAGAAACACUUCCUUCCUAAGUUGGGUUUGCAGUACAGUGUCCAUCACAUCUACUCCUACAUUAAACAAAUCACUAUCCUGGCUAUGGAGCAGCAAGAAAAGAGUGGGAAGAUAUGUUCCCAGAAACUCUGCUUCCUACCCUCCUUCCCAGGACCACUUCAGAGCCCUUGGUCCAAUGAUGCUGCAGUUUUUCUGUCCAGAUCACAUCUUGGAUGUGGAUGCCUUCCCUGAAGGAAAUGCUGCAUCCUCUCCAGAGAGUGUUCCUCUAAUGCUGUAGUAUGACCUCCAGCAAAGCAACAAGACAUGGUGGACAUAGAGUGCAGCCCCGCAGUGCCCUGUUCAAACCAGCUCCUUGCCCUUGACAGUGUAGGAUCCAUUUACAGAGGCAUGGACAGAGUGCAGCACGCACUUAGGUUUCUUCCCAGCCCCGAGUCCUUGGAUACCGAGUGGAAGGAAGUCUCCCACCCACACAUCGAGAAUCCAGUUCAUCCAGAUGCCGGAGCGGGUCUUUUGCUCUAAGUCUAUGAAGAUGAUUGAGCUUGGCGCAGUCGGGUGCCCAUUUCCUUUAACGGCGGAGCAGCGCUUACGCAAUCAAAGAGAAGAGGAUCAUCUGUCGUAGUCUAUGAACUCACAAAUGCCCUGCAUUUGACCACCCUCCUGGCAGCUUCACUUCAAAUGCUCUGGGGUGGGGUAGGGGGUGGGGGGCUCUUUCCUCAGAGCACCCACCCCCGGUCACACACACAGAACCAUCUUAGAACCCGGAAGUCCAGGCAAGGGAUGGUGUCUGUGUGGCUAUGAGAGGCAGAUUUUCUUUUUUUCAAGAACACUUGUGAAGGGCGUGGGGAGCCAACUAAAAUUAAUGAACUUUUCCUGCCAAAAAGAGCUAGGCUCCAAAUUCGGUCAUAUGUUGCCAAAUAGACAGUGUGAAUGAAGUCAGCCUGCGAAGAAAAUACGAACAUUCCAGAGGAGCAGGAGCUGGAGACAGGCUGUCCCCAACUUCAGCACACUGAUCUAACAAUAUCCCCCACCCGAGGAGAAUAAGCCCAGACCUGUAGCUGAUUCAUUCAGAGGACAGUUCCUCUAAACACUGCCACUGAUCACUUCGCAGCCUCUUGCUAAUUCCCACCUCCCUCUAGGAGUCCCUUUGUUACCUGGUCUCAUCCUCUGGAUCCUCUAUGCUGAGAAGAGGCCCUUGCCUUCCCUGACCCAGCCCACGGUCAGCGAAUACAGGAUCCACAACAGCGAAGAAAGGCCGAAUCUCACAAAGAGCCUCUCUGACCUUGGGACUUGCUACCUCCUGUUCUACCCUAUACACCAGAAUCUGGGCUCCAAAAGAAGCUGAAGUCAUUGCCCACAUGGCACUCCUGGGU